AAUUCUCAACUUCAAAACUUUAUUGAUUUGAAGCUUGGAUAUUGGAGGUUACUGCAGGCAUUGUCAAAUGUCAGCUCCUCUUAAAAGCAUUAGCUUGGGACCAUGAAGGACCAGCUCUGGUUUGAUAAUCCUAUCUAUGCCAUUGCUGAGAAACAAAAGGUCCUGGCUUCUAACUGUCUUUGGACUGUCUCGCAAGAGGCAUAAUUAUUU
RNAcentral lists this unclassified non-coding RNA (210 nucleotides) under uncultured Clavulinopsis. Its description in RNAcentral is "sequence contains ITS2". Lineage: Eukaryota; Fungi; Basidiomycota; Agaricomycetes; Agaricales; Clavariaceae. The record is from RNAcentral.